AGUGAACGCUGGCGGCGUGCUUAACACAUGCAAGUCGAGCGGUAAGGCCCUUUCGGGGGUACACGAGCGGCGAACGGGUGAGUAACACGUGGGUGACCUGCCCUCAGCUCUGGGAUAAGCCUGGGAAACCGGGUCUAAUACUGGAUAUGACUCCAUGACGCAUGUUGUGGGGUGGAAAGCCUUGUGCGGCUGAGGAUGGGCCCGCGGCCUAUCAGCUUGUUGGUGGGGUGAUGGCCUACCAAGGCGACGACGGGUAGCCGGCCUGAGAGGGCGACCGGCCACACUGGGACUGAGACACGGCCCAGACUCCUACGGGAGGCAGCAGUGGGGAAUCUUGCGCAAUGGGCGAAAGCCUGACGCAGCGACGCCGCGUGAGGGAUGACGGCCUGG
This 390-nucleotide ribosomal RNA is filed under the name uncultured bacterium. Its description in RNAcentral is "bacterial SSU rRNA". It matches the Rfam family "Bacterial small subunit ribosomal RNA", at positions 28 to 419 of the family's 1533-position model. The record is from RNAcentral.